UUCAGGUAAACUCUUCAACUUUCCAAAUUCCAAACGUCAUCUUGAAUUAACAAUACCAAAAAUUUCGAUCAUCUUCUUCAAUUUAUCUUUAUAUGGUAAUUUUCUUUUCGGGCAAAAUCUACAUCUUCUGAAGUAGAUGUUGAGGUGAUUACCAACAUUUCUCCAACUAUGCCAAUGGCAUCUCAACAACAAGUUUGAAAAAUCACGGAUAUCAAGAUGAGAGAUCUCAAAAGAUGAAUGGCAAGAGAUAGUCAUGUAAAAUAUCUUUCUACUCCUCAACUUACGUGGAAAAAAGAUUCACAACUAAGGUAUUAGCAAGAAAAUGGUCUGAAUCACAUUGAGGGAGAAGGAAUUGAAGCG
Capsicum annuum is the source of this 360-nucleotide long non-coding RNA. RefSeq lists it as uncharacterized. The record is from RefSeq and is a predicted model, not a curated record. Lineage: Eukaryota; Viridiplantae; Streptophyta; Magnoliopsida; Solanales; Solanaceae. The transcript has 4 exons.